Non-coding RNA from Ricinus communis (castor bean), 108 nucleotides. The record is from Rfam. Lineage: Eukaryota; Viridiplantae; Streptophyta; Magnoliopsida; Malpighiales; Euphorbiaceae.
GUAUCCAUGGUAUGGGCAUUGUAGUAAAAGUGAUUUUAAGCGAUCCCAUGCUUUACGAAAGGAUUUUGUAUCCUUUUGAUAAAAGUUGAAAAUUUUAGUCCUUAAUUC